Molecule: transfer RNA, 72 nt
Filed under: Streptococcus pyogenes
Lineage: Bacteria; Bacillati; Bacillota; Bacilli; Lactobacillales; Streptococcaceae
Also listed under: 2 other names
Description: tRNA-Arg
Rfam family: tRNA
About the family: Transfer RNA (tRNA) molecules are approximately 80 nucleotides in length. Their secondary structure includes four short double-helical elements and three loops (D, anti-codon, and T loops).
Source: RNAcentral
UAGGAGCUAGCUCAAAGGGAGAGCGAUUGAUUUCGAAUCAAUUGGUUUCAGGUUCGAUUCCUGAGUUCCUAA